RNAcentral lists this RNase P RNA (294 nucleotides) under uncultured Sutterella sp. RNAcentral's name for it is "Bacterial RNase P class A". It matches the Rfam family "Bacterial RNase P class A". Rfam says of the family: Ribonuclease P (RNase P) is a ubiquitous endoribonuclease, found in archaea, bacteria and eukarya as well as chloroplasts and mitochondria. Its best characterised activity is the generation of mature 5'-ends of tRNAs by cleaving the 5'-leader elements of precursor-tRNAs. Cellular RNase Ps are ribonucleoproteins. Lineage: Bacteria; Pseudomonadati; Pseudomonadota; Betaproteobacteria; Burkholderiales; Sutterellaceae. The record is from RNAcentral.
GGUGGACAGACGAUCGCUGGCAGAUUUUCUGCGAGAGGAAAGUCCGGACUCCACAGGGCAACGUAGCAGCUAACGGCUGUCCGCCGCAAGGCGAGGAUCAGAGCAACAGAGACGAGCCGGCCUCGGGUCGGGUGAAACGGGCAAUCUCUACGUGGAGCAACACCAAAUAGGCAGCCGCUAAUCCGGCCCGGACAGGCUGCGGGUAGGUGGCACGAUGCGGCAUGCGAAUGCCGUACUAGAUGAAUGAUCGUCGGCGGCCCCGGCCGUUGACAGAAUCCGGCUUACGGACACCCU